UACGGAGGAUCCGAGCGUUAUCCGGAUUUAUUGGGUUUAAAGGGUGCGCAGGCGGGAGAUUAAGUCGGCGGUGAAAUUUUGUAGCUCAACUGUAAAAGUGCCUUCGAAACUGGUUUCCUUGAGUGUAGAUGAAGUAGGCGGAAUUUGUGGUGUAGCGGUGAAAUGCAUAGAUAUCACGAGGAACUCCGAUUGCGCAGGCAGCUUACUAAACUACUACUGACGCUCAGGCACGAAGGCGUGGGGAUCAAACAGGAUUAGAUACCCCCGUAGUCCCU
This 275-nucleotide ribosomal RNA is filed under the name uncultured prokaryote. Its description in RNAcentral is "partial 16S ribosomal RNA". It matches the Rfam family "Bacterial small subunit ribosomal RNA", at positions 524 to 798 of the family's 1533-position model. The record is from RNAcentral.